GAAGAAGCAUGGAGCAUCGAGGAAGUGGCAUUCAAUGUUCCGGGCUUAUCACUAGAUUGUUUUAUUCCACCAGCUGAACUAAGAUUUGGUUCUGUCAGUGAGUCUUGUGAAUUCCCUCAGGGUGAGAGAGUAAAGACUGCUGUGGCCGCAGCAGCGGCUGCUGCUUAUCGAGCCAAAGUUGCAGCACUGGAGAAGUCGCAUGAAAGCAAUGUCAAUAAGAUAAUCUGGAAGAUGGAUGUUUAAGGAAGGGAUAGGAUUUCUGGCAAAUUGUUCAUACAGAUAAGCUAGGUAGUUGGUAUUUAUGGACUGAGAAUUUAGAGGGUAAAUUGGUAAGGUAGGGACCUUCUUGUUUGACAAAUUUUGGGUUGGAUUCAUGCCUCUCUGAAUCUGUAAAUAGAGCCCGAUAAUAUUCGAGCUCAGAAGGAGACUUGAGUAUGACCUCCCACAGACUACACCAACUAAUCUAGCUGUGCAUCAUUGAGCCAAUGAAGGUUCUUGUUUUUCUUUCCUUUCUUUUCCUGUCCUACCUUCCUUGUAUGGAUGUGUUUAAACCAUGACAUCAGUCGCUUAUCCUUUAUAAUGAUUUUAUGAAUCUUUUCUUCAAAAG
This is a long non-coding RNA of Vitis riparia (riverbank grape), 607 nucleotides long. RefSeq lists it as uncharacterized. The transcript has 2 exons. NCBI's taxonomy places the organism in Eukaryota, Viridiplantae, Streptophyta, Magnoliopsida, Vitales, Vitaceae. The record is from RefSeq and is a predicted model, not a curated record.